GGACACCUAGUUUAAGUUAGAAUUGGGGCUUUGGGGGCCGUAGGUCUCUGUUUGGAGGGGUUCA
Molecule: transfer RNA, 64 nt
Filed under: Anchistrocephalus microcephalus
Lineage: Eukaryota; Metazoa; Platyhelminthes; Cestoda; Bothriocephalidea; Triaenophoridae
Description: tRNA-Pro
Source: RNAcentral